This 439-nucleotide ribosomal RNA is filed under the name uncultured bacterium. RNAcentral describes it as "partial 16S ribosomal RNA". It matches the Rfam family "Bacterial small subunit ribosomal RNA", at positions 338 to 795 of the family's 1533-position model. The record is from RNAcentral.
CCUACGGGAGGCAGCAGUGGGAAUAUUGCACAAUGGGGGAAAACCUGAUGCAGCGACGCCGCGUGAGUGAAGAAGUAAUUCGUUAUGUAAAGCUCUAUCAGCCGGGGAGAAAAUGACGGUACCUGAGUAAGAAGCCCCGGCUAACUACGUCCCAGCAGCCGCGGUAAUACGUUGGGGGCCAGCGUUAUGCGGAUUUACUGGGUGUAAGGGGAGCGUAGACGGCAGUGCAAGUCUGGAGGGAAAGGCGGGGGCUCAACCCCCGGACUGCUCUGGAAACUGUACGGCGGGAGUGCAGGAGAGGUAAGUGGAAUUCCUAGUGUAGCGGGGAAAUGCGUAGAUAUUAGGAGGAACACCAGUGGCGAAGGCGGCUUACUGGACUGUAACUGACGUUGAGGCUCGAAAGCGUGGGGAGCAAACAGGAUUAGAUACCCGAGUAGUC